UAUUAGAUGAAAAGACAAUAGAGUCCUCCCUGAUUAUGAGAUCAAAAUUUACACCAAACAUUGCAAAUGUAGGAAACUCAGGAUUUACCAUGUUUAUGUUUACAAGGGUCAUGCCAUCUGAUAGGGAGUUAGUGUCUGUUGAAAAAGAAAUUGCAGAGUUUGCUUGAUACUUCGUGGGUCUAUUGUCCACAGAAGAAAUUCUGAAUUCCAUGAUAUUAUCAGCAUCAGUUUAAAGUUGCUGUCUUCCAACAAUGCAUCACUGGAAGCUGAGCUAAAGGAAAAUGACCAAACCUUGAAUCAGAUGCUGCAGCUGCCCCUGUUUCAUUGUCAGCAAAAUCAGAUAUACUAGAUGUGGUAGUGGCUGCUCUCCUAAAUGUCUUGUAAAUGGAGUCAUCUGGCUGCAGAAUUUUUGGAGAAACUCCCGGGUACUUAAACUGGAACCUGUAAACCUGAGGUGGGCUCAGCACCACAGUAUUGCGAACACCAUUCUUGUUGUCUAACAAACUGAUGUCUUCCAACAACCAUGAUUCUGCGGGCCAGAGAUUUGGCUGGGAAGCUCUUCCAGAUUUGUGUAAGUCCUACUUGGCAUCCUCCAGGGCAGCUGCUACAAAUACAGUUCCAGAAUGGCCUCCUCACUCACAUGUCUGGUACCUCAGUGCUCCCUGGCACCAAUCUCUACAUGGCGUGGACUUCUCAUGGUCCGGUGGUGUCAGGGCAGUUACACUGCUAAGAUGGCAGCUAGCAUCUAAAGGCAUGUUUUCCAAGAGAUAGGAGUAGAAACUGAGAGUAUAAGAUAUGGAUAUUUUUCUUUUAUUAAAAUUUUAUUUGAGGCAUAGAAAUUUCAUGUAUUUCAUUUAUAGAGACUCAGGAACA
Non-coding RNA from Oryctolagus cuniculus (rabbit), 873 nucleotides. The record is from RefSeq and is a predicted model, not a curated record. Lineage: Eukaryota; Metazoa; Chordata; Mammalia; Lagomorpha; Leporidae.